AGAGUUUGAUCAUGGCUCAGGAUGAACGCUGGCGGUAUGCUUAACACAUGCAAGUCGAACGGAAUGCUUCGGCAUUUAGUGGCGGACGGGUGAGUAACGCGUGAGAAUCUGGCUUCAGGAUGGGGACAACAGAGGGAAACUUCUGCUAAGACCCGAUGUGCCGAGAGGUGAAAAAUUUAUUGCCUGAAGAUGAGCUCGCGUCUGAUUAGCUAGUUGGAGAGGUAAGAGCUCACCAAGGCGACGAUCAGUAACUGGUCUGAGAGGAUGGCCAGUCACACUGGGACUGAGACACGGCCCAGACUCCUACGGGAGGCAGCAGUGGGGAAUUUUCCGCAAUGGGCGCAAGCCUGACGGAGCAAUACCGCGUGAGGGAGGAAGGCUCUUGGGUUGUAAACCUCUUUUCUCUGGGAAGAUAAUGACGGUACCAGAGGAAUCAGCAUCGGCUAACUCCGUGCCAGCCGCCGCGGUAAUUC
Molecule: ribosomal RNA, 473 nt
Filed under: uncultured bacterium
Lineage: Bacteria
Description: bacterial SSU rRNA
Rfam family: Bacterial small subunit ribosomal RNA
Source: RNAcentral